UAAGCGGAGGAAAAGAAACUAACAAGGAUUCCCCUAGUAACGGCGAGGGUGAAGUGGGAAAAGCUCAACUUUGAAAUCUGGUACUUUCAGUAUCCGAAUUGUAGUCUCAAGAAGUGUUUUCUGUGCCGGUCCAUGUAUGAGUCUGUUGGAACACAGCGUCAUAGAGGGUGACAACCCCGUUCAUGACAUGGAUCCCGGUGCUUUGUGAUACACUCUCGAAGAGUCGAGUUGUUUGGGAAUGCAGCUCAAAUUGGGUGGUAAAUUCCAUCUAAAGCUAAAUAUUGGCGAGAGACCGAUAGCAAACAAGUACCGUGAGGGAAAGAUGAAAAGCACUUUGGAAAGAGAGUUAACAGUACGUGAAAUUGUUGAAAGGGAAACGAUUGAAGUCAGACGUGCGUGAUGCGGUUCAGCUUUAGUUCGCUAGAGUGUACUCCGUAUCUUUGCAGGCCAGCAUCGGUUUUGUUAGUCGGAUAAAGGUUUGAGAAAUGUGGCAUCUUCGGAUGUGUUAUAGUCUCAGACUGAAUACGAUUGAUGGGACCGAGGAACGCAGCGCGCCGCAAGGCCAAAGGUUCCGACCUUUUCGCGCUUAGGAUGCUGGUGAAAUGGCUUUAAACGACCCGUCUUGAAACACG
This 632-nucleotide ribosomal RNA is filed under the name Rhodotorula sp. RY-34. RNAcentral's name for it is "eukaryotic LSU rRNA". It matches the Rfam family "Eukaryotic large subunit ribosomal RNA", at positions 47 to 663 of the family's 3401-position model. Lineage: Eukaryota; Fungi; Basidiomycota; Microbotryomycetes; Sporidiobolales; Sporidiobolaceae. The record is from RNAcentral.